This 1134-nucleotide unclassified non-coding RNA is filed under the name Leishmania donovani. RNAcentral describes it as "gene:unknown". Lineage: Eukaryota; Euglenozoa; Kinetoplastea; Trypanosomatida; Trypanosomatidae. The record is from RNAcentral.
GGUGCAUAUACCCUCCUCUUCACACUGAGGUCAUUCAUCGACACACACACGCACAGAGAAACACAGGCGCACAUGCAGCGGGCGGUGCGCCUGCAUGCAUACUCAGGCGCAUCUUCCUCGUUCGUCUCUUUUUUGUGCCGCCUCUCGGGGACUUUGGCAAGCUAUGGAGUGCCGCUGUCAGCUCUCUCUCUCUGUGCUGUUUUUCGCUCCUUGUCUUCAUGUCAUGAACGCGGUGUGCUCUUGAGCGCCACGGCCUACACUAAUUUCUACCACCACCGUCGUUGUCUCUGUCACGCCAGUCUCUCUCUUCUUUGCGUACGCCAGAAAUGUCUGUGCAUCUAUGGGCGGUGCUCGUCUCUGGGCGCGUGUGCGUGCGCGAGCGUGUAUGCCACGCGCAGCAAGGUGAAGGCACCAGUCGGCUGUCAACGGGCUCUUUCACAUCUCCCUCAUCUUAUUUUUUCGCUUUCUGAGGCCACUUCUCCUUCAUUUCGCCCCGCUCGCUUUCUUUAUCGCGCGCGUACACACACACACACACACACACACACCGACUGUUGGCGUGUGUUUGUGUGCACAGUUCUCCUUGCCCCCCUUCCCUCGUCGUUGUCUUUGGCCGGGGCUCUCCAGUUUUUUCUCCGUCGGGGUUGCAGACGAACCGCAACAUGAACGCAAAGGAAACAAAGAAGUGCGCAGCACAUCACCUGUUUUUCAUUCUCGGGCACAGCGGGGCGGCGGCGGCGGUCACACUACUACCCCUUGUGUCCUGUAUCGUAGUACUCGUUCACUGCACCCCUCGAAUGAGAUAAUGACGGGUGGUGAGAGCAGCACUGCGCUCACUCGCUUUCUCCUCUUAUCCCCGGUCUUUGUGUCUCGGAGCGCGAGAGGGAGCUCUUCCAAUGCGAUGCAUGUCGCGAAGUCGAUCGCUGCGCGCCCGAAAAGGUGGGCUUGUAUUGAGCUGCCCAUAAGUGACAACGAGGUCGUGUGCCCCCUUCUCUUCUCGUGGUGUAUCUCCGCGGCAUGCACUCUGUCCCGCCACUUCCGUACUCUGCUUGGCUGUUUCCCUGCUUCUCUCUCUCUGUGUGCGCCUCUUUUCUCUCCUAUCUCACUCUUUCUCUCUCCCCGCCUGCGCGUACGGAG